UGAGCAACCUGCCCCAGACUCAGGGAUAACCCCGGGGAAACCGGGGCUAAUACCCGAUACUCCGAUCGAACCACAUGGCUUGAUCGGGGAAAGCUCCGACGGUCUGAGAUGGGCCCGCGGCCUAUCAGCUUGUUGGUGGGGUAACGGCCUACCAAGGCGACGACGGGUAGCUGGUCUGAGAGGACGACCUGCCACACUGGAACUGAGAUACGGUCCAGACUCCGUACGGGAG
This 232-nucleotide ribosomal RNA is filed under the name uncultured bacterium. RNAcentral's name for it is "partial 16S ribosomal RNA". It matches the Rfam family "Bacterial small subunit ribosomal RNA", at positions 118 to 347 of the family's 1533-position model. The record is from RNAcentral.